This 484-nucleotide ribosomal RNA is filed under the name uncultured bacterium. RNAcentral describes it as "partial 16S ribosomal RNA". It matches the Rfam family "Bacterial small subunit ribosomal RNA", at positions 30 to 507 of the family's 1533-position model. The record is from RNAcentral.
AUUGAACGCUGGCGGCAGGCCUAACACAUGCAAGUCGAGCGGAUGAAGGGAGCUUGCUCCUGGAUUCAGCGGCGGACGGGUGAGUAAUGCCUAGGAAUCUUCCUGGUAGUGGGGGAUAACGUCCGGAAACGGGCGCUAAUACCGCAUACGUCCUAAGGGAGAAAGUGGGGGAUCUUCGGACCUCACGCUAUCAUAUGAGCCUAGGUCGGAUUAGCUAGUUGGUGGGGUAAAGGCCUACCAAGGCGACGAUCCGUAACUGGUCUGAGAGGAUGAUCAGUCACACUGGAACUGGGACACGGUACAGAAUCCUACGGGAGGAAGCAGUGGGGAAUAUUGGACAAUGGGCGAAAGCCUGAUCCAGCCAUGCCGCGUGUGUGAAGAAGGUCUUCGGAUUGUAAAGCACUUUAAGUUGGGAGGAAGGGCAGUAAGUUAAUACCUUGAUGUUUUGAAGUUACAAACAGAAUAAGCACCGGAUAACUUCGUG